UCCACGUGGUGGGAGUAGGGCUUUGGACCAGUGAUCAUUAACCACCUCUGGGUUAAACCAGCCCAAGGUGAUUGCAAUUCACACUACAAGAGGCCCCUCUUCUGUGGUUGAAAUGGAAAUCAAGUUUGAAAUGUCAAGCAGUUGUCUGAGGCAUAGCAGUCAGAGAAAUUGAACUGUCAGAAACUAACACAAGAAUAAUAAGAGGAUAUUUCUUCUUCAUUGGACACCAGAGAUGAAUAGCAGGCUUACAAGGAAAAAAUCCAACUCUCUUUUGUAUUAUCUUAAAGUCAUUCAAUCCAGUGAUUUAGAGCAUUUUUAUCCAUGUGAGAAACUGAUUACCACAACAGAGAGACUUACAAGCAAAUGCAACGAAUGGAAGCUUGAAGGACUAUCAAUCAAGGAGAGAAGGGAAGAUUUCAGAGAAGAAUUUGGUCAGGGAGACAGUUAAGAAAGUCAGCAGCUGAAACUGGGCACUCUUUCCUUUUGAACUUGGAGGAAAGGAGCCGGCAGAUAGACUGCUCUGAAUUCCUGGCUAUUUACUUCACAUUGAAAGAAAGAUCCUUUUCAAGUUAUUAACCAUAUCCCCUCAAAGACAAAUCAACCUUACUUCCUUAUAUUGAACUUUAUAAUAGAUUAGGGAAACCAUAAAUUCCCUCUGCCCUACCCCAACUCCCUAACUUCCUUCCUUUAAAAUAAAUCCCCUUUUGAAAGUAUUAUCUUGUGAAAU
This 727-nucleotide long non-coding RNA is filed under the name Monodelphis domestica (gray short-tailed opossum). Its description in RNAcentral is "lncRNA (ENSMODG00000032843.2)". Lineage: Eukaryota; Metazoa; Chordata; Mammalia; Didelphimorphia; Didelphidae. The record is from RNAcentral.